CCUCCCCCUUCGCCGCCGCCAUCUUCUUCUUGCGCAGGCCGGUAGGCUGUGCUCUGCUCUGGUGUCUCACGCCGGCGGUUGGUGCUGCAUGGUUCGCCUUACUCCCUCUUUUUUUUAUUUCAGAAGCAAAGACAGGGAUGUGAGGAGGAAAACGCUGGUGGAUAGGAAGCAGGCGUGGCUCAAGCCAACGAACAAAGCUUGAAGGCUCAAGCCAGACGAUGGGUUUUCAGAGAGUUGAAGGCAGUUUUGAAUUGACACUUGUAGUAUUCUACCUCUAGUAAACAGGAUUUGCAGUG
Molecule: long non-coding RNA, 296 nt
Organism: Hemicordylus capensis (graceful crag lizard)
Lineage: Eukaryota; Metazoa; Chordata; Lepidosauria; Squamata; Cordylidae
Exons: 2
Source: RefSeq, a predicted model, not a curated record